AUUUAAAGAUUUCUCUAUGUUUGUGUCUUCCAGUGUGACAUUCCAAUCAUACGGAGAUGGUGGACUCCAGAUGGUUUUCUCUGAAAGUGCAGAAACCCUACAAGAGGCCCUUCCAAUUGGAUAACAGGCUACGCUUGUGAGGAGAUCCCAGUAAUCUCACAGAAGUUGUAAAAUGGCUCCAUUAAACAGACAUCUGCUCAGGGGGCCAGUGGAAGAGCCUCUUUUCCUUAUAAUG
Long non-coding RNA from Sinocyclocheilus anshuiensis, 235 nucleotides. RefSeq lists it as uncharacterized. Lineage: Eukaryota; Metazoa; Chordata; Actinopteri; Cypriniformes; Cyprinidae. The record is from RefSeq and is a predicted model, not a curated record. The transcript is spliced from 3 exons.